UGCAGAGUGAGAAAGCUCAUUACCGUUUGGUGAUGGGCUUUUGUAAUGCAGAGCGCCGGUCACAAUCCCGG
This 71-nucleotide non-coding RNA is filed under the name unclassified sequences. The record is from Rfam.